RNAcentral lists this ribosomal RNA (253 nucleotides) under uncultured bacterium. RNAcentral's name for it is "partial 16S ribosomal RNA". It matches the Rfam family "Bacterial small subunit ribosomal RNA", at positions 524 to 776 of the family's 1533-position model. The record is from RNAcentral.
UACGUAGGGUGCAAGCGUUGUCCGGAAUUAUUGGGCGUAAAGCGCUUGUAGGCGGUUUGUCGCGUCUGCUGUGAAAUUUCGGGGCUCAACCCCGAACUUGCAGUGGGUACGGGUAGACUAGAGUGUGGUAGGGGAGACUGGAAUUCCUGGUGUAGCGGUGAAAUGCGCAGAUAUCGGGAAGAACACCCGUGGCGAAGGCGGUUCUCUGGGACGGUACUGACGCUGAGACGCGAAAGCGUGGGGAGCGAACAGG